Molecule: ribosomal RNA, 503 nt
Filed under: uncultured bacterium
Lineage: Bacteria
Description: bacterial SSU rRNA
Rfam family: Bacterial small subunit ribosomal RNA
Source: RNAcentral
AACGAACGCUGGCGGCGCGCCUAAUACAUGCAAGUCGAGCGAGAAGACGUAGCAAUACGUUUGUAAAGCGGCGAACGGGUGAGGAAUACAUGGGUAACCUACCCUCGAGUGGGGAAUAACUAGCCGAAAGGUUAGCUAAUACCGCGUACGCUCCUUGGACUUCGGUUCAGGGAGGAAAGCGAUACCGUGGGUAUCGCGCUCUUGGAUGGGCUCAUGUCCUAUCAGCUUGUUGGNGAGGUAACGGCUCACCAAGGCUUCGACGGGUAGCUGGUCUGAGAGGACGAUCAGCCACACUGGCACUGCGACACGGGCCAGACUCCUACGGGAGGCAGCAGUAAGGAAUAUUGCGCAAUGGGCGAAAGCCUGACGCAGCGACGCCGCGUGGGGGAUGAAGGUCUUCGGAUUGUAAACCCCUUUCGGGAGGGAAGAUGGAAUGGGGUAACCCAUUCGGACGGUACCUCCAGAGCAGCCACGGCUAACUUCGUGCCAGCAGCCGCAGUAAC